CGCUUCUUUCCCUUCUUCCUUCCUCCUCUUCUUUCUCAUUAUCAACGCCAAUCAGAAGGUAAGAUGCACAACCAAGAGCAAUAAACACAUGUUCGGCAAUCGCUCAUUGGGACUCUAACCUUAAAGCUUGAUGGCUGCUUUUUGAGCUCACCGCAAAUGAAGGCUUUCUUCAUAGCAGUGUCUCCAAAAAAGUUUUCUUAAAAAAAUUGUUGGUUGCAUG
Molecule: unclassified non-coding RNA, 220 nt
Filed under: Hevea brasiliensis (rubber tree)
Lineage: Eukaryota; Viridiplantae; Streptophyta; Magnoliopsida; Malpighiales; Euphorbiaceae
Source: RNAcentral